CCUACGGGAGGCAGCAGUAGGGAAUAUUGGACAAUGGGCGCAAGCCUGAUCCAGCCAUCCCGCGUGCAGGAUGAAGGUCCUAUGGAUUGUAAACUGCUUUUAUCAGGGAAGAAACCUUGGGAUUCAUCCCAAGUUGACGGUACCUGAGGAAUAAGCACCGGCUAACUCCGUGCCAGCAGCCGCGGUAAUACGGAGGGUGCAAGCGUUAUCCGGAUUUACUGGGUUUAAAGGGUGCGUAGGUGGUCUUGUAAGUCAGCGGUGAAAGCUCGGAGCUCAACUCCGAAAUUGCCAUUGAUACUGCAAGGCUUGAGUACAGUUGAGGUAGGCGGAAUAUGUCAUGUAGCGGUGAAAUGCUUAGAUAUGACAUAGAACACCAAUUGCGAAGGCAGCUUGCUAAACUGAAACUGACACUGAGGCACGAAAGCGUGGGGAUCAAACAGGAUUAGAUACCCUGGUGGUCCACGCCCUAAACGAUGCUAACUCGAUUUUGGCGAUAUACAGUCAGAGUCCAAGGAACCGAUAAGUUAGCACCUGGGGAGUCGUCCGCAGAUGAAACUCAAAGGAAUUGACGGCGNGAGAGNGCGAGGACGACGACGAGGGAGAGG
RNAcentral lists this ribosomal RNA (605 nucleotides) under uncultured bacterium. RNAcentral describes it as "bacterial SSU rRNA". It matches the Rfam family "Bacterial small subunit ribosomal RNA", at positions 338 to 956 of the family's 1533-position model. The record is from RNAcentral.